GAUCAUGGCUCAGGAUGAACGCUGGCGGCGUGCCUAACACAUGCAAGUCGAGCGAAGCACUUGCGAAUGAUCUUUCGGGUGAUUUUGCUGGUGACUGAGCGGGCGGACGGGUGAAGGUAACGCGUGGGUAACCUGCCUCAUACAGGGGGAUAACAGUUAGAAAUGACUGCUAAUACCGCAUAAGCGCACAGUACCACAUGGUACGGUGUGAAAAACUCCGGUGGU
RNAcentral lists this ribosomal RNA (225 nucleotides) under uncultured bacterium. RNAcentral's name for it is "partial 16S ribosomal RNA". It matches the Rfam family "Bacterial small subunit ribosomal RNA", at positions 15 to 219 of the family's 1533-position model. The record is from RNAcentral.